Molecule: long non-coding RNA, 2256 nt
Filed under: Marmota monax (woodchuck)
Lineage: Eukaryota; Metazoa; Chordata; Mammalia; Rodentia; Sciuridae
Source: RNAcentral
GGGUUGGGUGGGUUCCAUUCUCACCACCACAUGAAAAAUAAAUAAAAUAAAGGCAUUGUGUCCAACUACAACUAAUAUAUGUAUGAAAUUCCUAAAGGGGUCAAUAGAGGUAAUUCUUUUUCCCCCAGUAGGAGGGGAAAAAAAUGUUUUUUCAGGUACCCAGGGGCACUUUACCACUGAGAUGCAUCCCCAGCCCUUUGCCACAAAGUAGCUGAGAUAACAGGUGUGAUCCACCAUGCCUGGUGAGAUAAAUAUAUUUUUAAAUUUUAUUUAUUCUAAUUUGAAUACAUGACAGCAGAAUGCAUUUCAAUUGGUAGUACACAUGUAGAACACGACUUUUCAUUUCUCUGGUUGUACAGAGUGACACCAUUGCUGUCUUAAUACAUGAACUUAGGGUAAUGAUGGCCAUCUCAUUCCACCAUCUUUCCUACCCCCAUGUCCUCUCCCUUCCCUUUGCCCUCCAAAGUUCCUCCAUUCCUCCCAUGCUCCCUCCACCCCCAUUAUGGAUCAGCAUCCACAUAUCAGAGAAAACAUUUGGCCUUUGGUUUUUUGGGAUUGGUUUACUUCACUUAGCACAAUAUUCUCUAACUCCAUCCAUUUAGCUGCAAAUGCCACCAUUGAGACAAAUAUUUUUAAAGGCUUUUUAAAUGUGUUGCUGAAUUUUUCCCAGCGAGGUGCACAAGUUUGAAGUUAGAUGCCUGCUGUUUGAAUCCCAGCUCUGGCAUUUUCUAGCUAUGUGACUUAAGCCAUCACUUUCCCUCUUUGGGGCUUCGUUUGUUUCUUCAUCUGGUUAAUGGGGAUAAUUACAUUUAUUUCAUUUCAUAGAGUCACUGUGAGAAUUCAAAGUAUUGCCACGUGUGCUGAUAGGAGUCUUACUUGGGCUUUUAUUCCUUAGUUUUACAAUAUUCCAGAUGAUUCAUCUCAGAAUCCCUUUACACUUUUUCCCCCAAUAUUGGGGAUUGAAUCUGAGGGUGCUUUACCACUAAGCUACACCCCAAAUUCUUUUUAUUUUUUAUUUUGAGACAGGGUCUCCCUAAAUUUCCUAGGCUGGCCUUGAACAUGUGACCCUCCUUUCUCAGUUUGAGGAGUUGCUAGGAUUAUUAAGCCCAGCCCUUUACAUUCUUAUCAUUGAAGAGCUCAAAAGAUUUGGGUUAUGUGAGUUCCAUCUGUCACAAUUUAUCACAUGAAUUUUAAAUUGAAAAUUAAAUUGCAGUAAGAAUCCUCUGCCCAACUAUCUUCACCAAAUAGAAUCAGCAAAUCAGUGUUUUACACUUUUCUUUUUCCCCUUAUGUGAUGGAGUUUUGCUAUGGUUGCCCAGGCUGCUCUUGAAUUUGUGGGCCUGAGAAAUCCUCCCGGCUUCAAUGUCCCAAUGAGCCAGGACUACAGGCCUGUGCCACUAUGCCUGGCCAUUUUUAUUUUAUUUUAUUUAUUUAUUUAUUUUGAAAUAGGGUCUCACUAAGGUGCUUAGAGCCUCGCUAAAUUGCUGAGGCUGGCUUUGAACUUGUGAUUCUCCUGCAUCAGCCUCCUGAGCCUCUGGGAUUACAGGUGUGGGCCACUGAGCUCCAGAAGGCCUUUUUAUUUAUUUAUUUUUUUCGGGGGGGGGUGGAAAUCAGGAAUUGAAUGCAGGGGCACUUGACCACUGAGCCACAUCCCCAGCCCUAUUUUGUAUUUUAUUGAGUUUUGUAUUUUAUUGGUCUCAUUGAGUUGCUUAGUGCCUCGCUUUUGCUGAGGAGAUUGGCUUUGAAUUUGUGAUCCUCCUGUCUCAGCUUCCUAGGCUUCUGGGAUUACAGGUGUGUGCCACCUUGAUAGCUUCAAAAAGAUCCUCUUAAACAGAGUGGCUUUUCUGCCGCUAGUGUGUGGUGAAAAACACGUGCAAUUUGAUAUCAUCACCCUGUAUUGUUUUUGCAUCAUCAGCACAGAUAUCAACACAGUGGACCAGGCAAAAGACUUCUCAGUAUUCCUAUGAAGAUAAUCUGGAAGGGGUGGGGGGGCUGGGGUUAUGGCUCAGUAGUAGAGGGCUUGCCUAGCACGUCUGAUGCCCUGGUUUCGAUCCUCAGCACCACAUAAAAAUAAAUGCAAUAAGGGUGUUGUGUCCAACUACAACUAAAAAGUGAAUAUUUUUAAAAAAUACUCUGGAACCUCCUGAAAGGUUCUUGGGAGUCACCCCAGAACUCACCAUGAAACAGAACACCAGGAGUCACCAUGUAACAGUGGUCCACUUUAUGCUUUGAAUAUAACCCUUGCUGCUCUGCUACU